AGCCCCUCUUCCUAUCAGGUGUGGGGGUCCUUCUGCUCCUCAGCUGGGGCUGAAGGCCAAGAUUGGCCCUCAGAUAUCCUUGUUAAUAUUACUGUGACCUCGAAGUCUUGUUUCCUGCCCAGGUCAUAA
Molecule: non-coding RNA, 129 nt
Organism: Grammomys surdaster
Lineage: Eukaryota; Metazoa; Chordata; Mammalia; Rodentia; Muridae
Source: RefSeq, a predicted model, not a curated record